Molecule: long non-coding RNA, 2514 nt
Filed under: Sus scrofa (pig)
Lineage: Eukaryota; Metazoa; Chordata; Mammalia; Artiodactyla; Suidae
Description: lncRNA (ENSSSCG00050009058.1)
Source: RNAcentral
GGCCAGGAGUUGAACCUGGAACCUCAUGGUUCCUCGUCGGAUUCAUUUCUGCUGUACCAUGAUGGGAACUCCUGCUUCCUGUAUCUUGAUAUCUGAUUCCUUCUUCAGAUUUGGCAAGUUUCAAAUGUAUUUUCAAUCCCCUUUUGUUUCUCUUCUACUUCUGCAACCCCUAUUAUGUGUCAAUUGGAACAUUUUCUAUUGUGCCAAAUAGCUCCUAUAUCGCUUUCAUUUUUUUUUUUUCCACUUGCCUUUCUGUCUGUCUGUCAUGACUGGGUGAUUUCCAUUAUCCUGUCUUCCAAGUAACUUAUUCAUCCCUCUGCAUUAUUCAUUCUGCUGUUCAUUGCCUUUAACUCAGCUUUUGUGUCUGCAAAUGAAUUUUCUAAUUUUUCUUGGCUCCUCCUUGUAGUUUCUAGUUCCUUUUUAAUGUAAUAUUCAUUACUGUUGACAUCUGCUGCUAAUUCCUUUGGUAUUUCCAUUUCCUCCUUUUUGGACUCAAGUGUCAANUACUGCAGAAGUGAAGUCUAUUUCAUUGUUUGCUCCUUCAGGGGAUUCUCCUGUUUAACUGGGAAUGGUUUCUGUUCUUAAUUUUUUUUUUUACUUUUUAGAGCUGCACCUGCAGCAUAUGAGAGUUCCUGGUCUAGGAGUCAAAUCAGAGCUGCAGCUGCAGGCCUAUGCCACAGCCAUAGCAACACUUGAUCCAAGCCACUUCUGCAACCUACAUUGCAGUUUUCAGUAAUGCUGGAUCCUUAACUCACUGAGUGGGGCCAGGGAUUGAACCUGUGUCCUCAUGGAGAUUUGUCAGGUUCUUCACCUGCUGAGCCACAGUAGAGCCACUCUACUAUGCUUCUUUAUUUUGCUUAUGUUUUUCUUAUUCUGUGAGUUUAGGGAGAACAAUUAUCUACUGUAGUCUUGGAGAGCUAUUUACAUGUGGGAAUGUCCCUGGGUAGCUUGUGAGGGCUUACUGUUUUUUUGGUGUGAGGGCUGCUUUUGGUUUGGUUGCUUGCUGUUUCUUUCCUUACUGUGGGCAGACUGUUACCCAUGGUAGGGGUUGCAAAGGUAUAUGGCCUGUGUGUGCUUCCUGGAAGGUGGGGCAGUUGGCUGUGCCUGCAGGCAGCACCUGGUCACUGGGCCCUUGGCUGUGGUGAGGACCCAUGUACAGGUGGGGGCGGCGCCUGCUUCUGGUUGUAGGGCUUUUGGCAGAGCAGUGACUCUCAAGGAAAUGAGGGUGGUGCCCAGAAACCUUGGCAGUGGCAAUGGCGGAGCAUGUCGUUCCCAUAGAUUGGGGGUAAUGAGUGGUGUUUGGUUGAAGGGCCCUCCAAGGCAUUGACCCUGGAGGUGAUUGACUACAGACAGUGCCUUUUCAUGGGACCCUUAGUUGUCCCAUGACAACCACUGGAGUCUGAGACGGCUGUGGUGAUUUGUACCCAUCCCCAUAGCCUGUGCAAGAGGUGCUCGCUGCCCAAGCGCCCGCGUGUUUGCAGAGAAAGAAGUUCCUAUGGUGGCCUGUCCCACCCCACCCCUUGCACUCCCCAACAAGGGCCCAGGCCUCCUUCAGCUGUGGCGCACUGCUCCCUGGCCCCCUCAGGCUGAUUCCACAAAGCCAACACUAGUCCCCUCCCAGGAACUGAUCUCUGUAGUCCGAGCCUCAGUGCCCAGCCCCUGCCCAAGUGUCUCAGGCUGUGGUGUUUGGGGCAGCAGAACUGAUCAUCUGUGUGGCUGUCUCUCUGCUUUGCCGUCCUCAGUCCAGCAGCUCUGAUUUUCUGUGAGGCUUCGAGGCUGCCUCUCAGUGCCGGCUGGUCUUUCUGUCAGGUUGGCUCCCAGGGUGCAGAUUCUUUUCCUCCUUCACAGCUCCCUCCCCAGAGUGCUGGUUCUGUCUGAUUCCUUUUUUUCUCUUCUUUUUUCCCCUUUUAUUCUACCCAGUUAUGUGGAGGGUUUCUUGCCCUUUUUGGAAGUCUAAGGGCUUCUGCCAGCAUUCAGUAGUUGCUCUGAACAAAUCGUUCUACAUGUAGAUGGUUUUUAUUGAUGGGUUUGUAGGAGAAAGGGUGCACCAUAUCCAUCUCCCCUGCUGUCUUGAUCCUGCCUCCUAGUUGCCUGUUUUUAAGCUUUAUACUUGGAGCGAUAUGUAAUACUUUGUCAUUUUAUGAAAUCAUACAUGAUAUAGCCUGUGACUUCUUUUGUUCAAUAUUGUUAGAGUAUUCUGUGUUGAUAUGUGUGCCACGGGUUUAUUGUUUCACGUUACAUAUUAUUCCAUUAUAUGUCUAUACUAGAGUUUAUCCUAGCUAAUAUUUAGUAGGAGUUCCCGUCGUUACUCAGUGGUUAACGAAUCUGACUAGGAACCAUGAGGUUGCAGGUUUGAUCCCUAUCCUAGCUAAUAUUUAAACAUAUUUUUUCUUUUUACAGUCACACCUGUGGCAUAUGGAAGUUCCCAGGCUAGGGGUUGAAUCACAGCUGCAACUGCGGGCCUUCACCACAGCCACAGCACUGCCAGAUCUGAGGCGCAUCUAUGAUCUAUGC